Molecule: long non-coding RNA, 357 nt
Filed under: Numida meleagris (helmeted guineafowl)
Lineage: Eukaryota; Metazoa; Chordata; Aves; Galliformes; Numididae
Description: lncRNA (ENSNMEG00000009324.1)
Source: RNAcentral
UGGGGACUGCAAAGAACCAAGGCAAAUGGAGAGAAGGAAGUGGUACAUAAAGCAAGACGUGGCAGAAUAUCUCUGUGCACUCACUCAGUGCCAUGGGUUUUUAAACUCAAGAUUCUGACAUAUGAAGCAGUUUCUCCCAGAAAAUUCCCAAAACAAAGAUCAUCUCUGAGAUGUACUUGAUUUCAUCUGGGAUCUUUCACAUGACUUUGCUGUCCAUCAUGCAAGAAGCUUUUCAAUUCUGCCUUGCUCAUUACUAAGACAAAUCAAUACAAAUGUUGCUGCUGCGUUCAAAGAAAGCACAGGCAAGUCUGGUUCUAAAAUAUCAGAACUGUUCCAUUAUUGGAAAUGGUAUGGCUA